GAGCACUGUUUCGGCAAGGGGGUCAUCCCGACUUACCAACCCGAUGCAAACUGCGAAUACCGGAGAAUGUUAUCACGGGAGACACACGGCGGGUGCUAACGUCCGUCGUGAAGAGGGAAACAACCCAGACCGCCAGCUAAGGUCCCAAAGUCAUGGUUAAGUGGGAAACGAUGUGGGAAGGCCCAGACAGCCAGGAUGUUGGCUUAGAAGCAGCCAUCAUUUAAAGAAAGCGUAAUAGCUCACUGGUCGAGUCGGCCUGCGCGGAAGAUGUAACGGGGCUAAACCAUGCACCGAAGCUGCGGCAGCGACACUAUGUGUUGUUGGGUAGGGGAGCGUUCUGUAAGCCUGUGAAGGUGUGCUGUGAGGCACGCUGGAGGUAUCAGAAGUGCGAAUGCUGACAUAAGUAACGAUAAAGCGGGUGAAAAGCCCGCUCGCCGGAAGACCAAGGGUUCCUGUCCAACGUUAAUCGGGGCAGGGUGAGUCGACCCCUAAGGCGAGGCCGAAAGGCGUAGUCGAUGGGAAACAGGUUAAUAUUCCUGUACUUGGUGUUACUGCGAAGGGGGGACGGAGAAGGCUAUGUUGGCCGGGCGACGGUUGUCCCGGUUUAAGCGUGUAGGCUGGUUUUCCAGGCAAAUCCGGAAAAUCAAGGCUGAGGCGUGAUGACGAGGCACUACGGUGCUGAAGCAACAAAUGCCCUGCUUCCAGGAAAAGCCUCUAAGCAUCAGGUAACAUCAAAUCGUACCCCAAACCGACACAGGUGGUCAGGUAGAGAAUACCAAGGCGCUUGAGAGAACUCGGGUGAAGGAACUAGGCAAAAUGGUGCCGUAACUUCGGGAGAAGGCACGCUGAUAUGUAGGUGAAGUCCCUCGCGGAUGGAGCUGAAAUCAGUCGAAGAUACCAGCUGGCUGCAACUGUUUAUUAAAAACACAGCACUGUGCAAACACGAAAGUGGACGUAUACGGUGUGACGCCUGCCCGGUGCCGGAAGGUUAAUUGAUGGGGUCAGCGCAAGCGAAGCUCUUGAUCGAAGCCCCGGUAAACGGCGGCCGUAACUAUAACGGUCCUAAGGUAGCGAAAUUCCUUGUCGGGUAAGUUCCGACCUGCACGAAUGGCGUAAUGAUGGCCAGGCUGUCUCCACCCGAGACUCAGUGAAAUUGAACUCGCUGUGAAGAUGCAGUGUACCCGCGGCAAGACGGAAAGACCCCGUGAACCUUUACUAUAGCUUGACACUGAACAUUGAGCCUUGAUGUGUAGGAUAGGUGGGAGGCUUUGAAGUGUGGACGCCAGUCUGCAUGGAGCCGACCUUGAAAUACCACCCUUUAAUGUUUGAUGUUCUAACGUGGACCCGUAAUCCGGGUUGCGGACAGUGUCUGGUGGGUAGUUUGACUGGGGCGGUCUCCUCCUAAAGAGUAACGGAGGAGCACGAAGGUUGGCUAAUCCUGGUCGGACAUCAGGAGGUUAGUGCAAUGGCAUAAGCCAGCUUGACUGCGAGCGUGACGGCGCGAGCAGGUGCGAAAGCAGGUCAUAGUGAUCCGGUGGUUCUGAAUGGAAGGGCCAUCGCUCAACGGAUAAAAGGUACUCCGGGGAUAACAGGCUGAUACCGCCCAAGAGUUCAUAUCGACGGCGGUGUUUGGCACCUCGAUGUCGGCUCAUCACAUCCUGGGGCUGAAGUAGGUCCCAAGGGUAUGGCUGUUCGCCAUUUAAAGUGGUACGCGAGCUGGGUUUAGAACGUCGUGAGACAGUUCGGUCCCUAUCUGCCGUGGGCGCUGGAGAACUGAGGGGGGCUGCUCCUAGUACGAGAGGACCGGAGUGGACGCAUCACUGGUGUUCGGGUUGUCAUGCCAAUGGCACUGCCCGGUAGCUAAAUGCGGAAGAGAUAAGUGCUGAAAGCAUCUAAGCACGAAACUUGCCCCGAGAUGAGU
RNAcentral lists this ribosomal RNA (1921 nucleotides) under Escherichia coli. RNAcentral describes it as "partial 23S ribosomal RNA". It matches the Rfam family "Bacterial large subunit ribosomal RNA", at positions 905 to 2809 of the family's 2925-position model. The record is from RNAcentral. Lineage: Bacteria; Pseudomonadati; Pseudomonadota; Gammaproteobacteria; Enterobacterales; Enterobacteriaceae.